This 535-nucleotide ribosomal RNA is filed under the name uncultured bacterium. Its description in RNAcentral is "bacterial SSU rRNA". It matches the Rfam family "Bacterial small subunit ribosomal RNA", at positions 355 to 894 of the family's 1533-position model. The record is from RNAcentral.
UGGGGAAUCUUGCACAAUGGGCGAAAGCCUGAUGCAGCGACGCCGCGUGGGGGAUGAAGCUUCUCGGAGUGUAAACCCCUUUCGACCCGGACGAAUACCUCGCAAGAGGGGUGACGGUACGGGUAUAAGAAGCCCCGGCUAAUUACGUGCCAGCAGCCGCGGUAAGACGUGGGGGGCCAGCGUUGUUCGGAAUUACUGGGUGUAAAGGGUUNNNAGGCGGUGUGGCAAGUCGGGAGUGAAAUCUCUAGGCUCAACCUAGAGUCNGCUUCCGAAACNGCUGUGCUUGAGUGUGGGAGAGGCGCGUGGAAUUGCAGGUGUAGCGGUGAAAUGCGUAGACANCUGCAGGAACACCCGUGGCGAAAGCGGCGCGCUGGACCACUACUGACNNNGAGGAACGAAAGCUAGGGGAGCGAACAGGAUUAGAUACCCUGGUAGUCCUAGCCCUAAACGAUCAGGACUUGGGGUGCCACCCGUUCGGGUGUCGUCCCGGAGCUAACGCGUUAAGUCCUGCACCUGGGGAGUACGGUCGCAAGAC